RNAcentral lists this ribosomal RNA (468 nucleotides) under uncultured bacterium. Its description in RNAcentral is "partial 16S ribosomal RNA". It matches the Rfam family "Bacterial small subunit ribosomal RNA", at positions 28 to 507 of the family's 1533-position model. The record is from RNAcentral.
GACGAACGCUGGCGGCGUGCUUAACACAUGCAAGUCGAACGGAAAGGCCCUGCUUUUGUGGGGUGCUCGAGUGGCGAACGGGUGAGUAACACGUGAGUAACCUGCCCUUGACUUUGGGAUAACUUCAGGAAACUGGGGCUAAUACCGGAUAGGAGCUCCUGCUGCAUGGUGGGGGUUGGAAAGUUUCGGCGGUUGGGGAUGGACUGGCGGCUUAUCAGCUUGUUGGUGGGGUAGUGGCUUACCAAGGCUUUGACGGGUAGCCGGCCUGAGAGGGUGAACGGCCACAUUGGGACUGAGGUACGGCCCAGACUCCUACGGGAGGCAACGGGGGGAAAUAUUACACAGUGAGGGGAAGCCUGAUGCAGCAACGCCGCGUGCGGGAUGACGGCCUUCGGGUUAUAAACCGCUUUCGCCUGUGACGAAGCGUGAGUGACGGUAAUGGGUAAAGAAGCACCGGCUAACUACGUG